This 253-nucleotide ribosomal RNA is filed under the name uncultured bacterium. Its description in RNAcentral is "partial 16S ribosomal RNA". It matches the Rfam family "Bacterial small subunit ribosomal RNA", at positions 524 to 776 of the family's 1533-position model. The record is from RNAcentral.
UACAGAGGUGGCAAGCGUUGUUCGGAAUUACUGGGCGUAAAGGGCGCGUAGGCGGUUCGUUAAGUCCUGUGUGAAAUCCCCCGGCUCAACUGGGGAACUGCACAGGAAACUAGCGGGCUUGAGUUCGGGAGAGGGAAGCGGAAUUCCGGGUGUAGCGGUGAAAUGCGUAGAUAUCCGGAGGAACACCAAUGGCGAAGGCAGCUCGCUGGGACGGUAUUGACGCUGAGGAGCGAAAGCAUGGGGAGCGAACAGG